This 382-nucleotide ribosomal RNA is filed under the name uncultured eukaryote. RNAcentral's name for it is "partial 18S ribosomal RNA". It matches the Rfam family "Eukaryotic small subunit ribosomal RNA", at positions 592 to 976 of the family's 1831-position model. The record is from RNAcentral.
UGUAAGCGUAUACCAAAGUUGUUGCAGUUAAAACGCUCGUAGUCGGACUUUGGCAGUUCCGGAUGUGUGCACGUCGUGUGCGCACUUCGCGGGGAUUGCUUUUGUGGUCUUGCGUAGGAUGAGGCACUUUUAUUAGUGAACGUCCUCACGCAACCACUUUUUACCGUGAGAAAAUCAGAGUGCUCAAAGCAGGCAUUUGCCGUGAAUGUAUUAGCAUGGAAUAAUAGAAUAGGACUUGGUUCUAUUUUGUUGGUUUGUUGGGACUGAGUAAUGAUUAAGAGGGACAGUUGGGGGCAUUUGUAUUUCGGUGCUAGAGGUGAAAUUCUUAGAUUACCGAAAGACAAACUGCUGCGAAAGCGUCUGCCAAGGAUGUUUUCAUUGA